UGGGGAAUUUUGCGCAAUGGGCGAAAGCCUGACGCAGCAACGCCGCGUGCGGGAUGAAGGCCUUCGGGUUGUAAACCGCUUUCAGCAGGGACGAACGUGACGGUACCUGCAGAAGAAGCCCCGGCUAACUACGUGCCAGCAGCCGCGGUAAUACGUAGGGGGCAAGCGUUAUCCGGAUUCAUUGGGCGUAAAGCGCGCGUAGGUGGUUUGUUAAGCGAGAUGUGAAAACAGGGGGCUCAACCCGCUGCCUGCAUCUCGAACUGGCAGACUUGAGUCUGGUAGAGGAAAGUGGAAUUCCUGGUGUAGCGGUGAAAUGCGCAGAUAUCAGGAGGAACACCAGUGGCGAAGGCGGCUUUCUGGGCCACGACUGACACUGAGGCGCGAAAGCUAGGGGAGCGAACAGG
This 404-nucleotide ribosomal RNA is filed under the name uncultured bacterium. Its description in RNAcentral is "bacterial SSU rRNA". It matches the Rfam family "Bacterial small subunit ribosomal RNA", at positions 355 to 776 of the family's 1533-position model. The record is from RNAcentral.